RNAcentral lists this ribosomal RNA (440 nucleotides) under uncultured bacterium. RNAcentral describes it as "partial 16S ribosomal RNA". It matches the Rfam family "Bacterial small subunit ribosomal RNA", at positions 338 to 795 of the family's 1533-position model. The record is from RNAcentral.
CCUACGGGUGGCUGCAGUGGGGAAUAUUGCACAAUGGGGGAAACCCUGAUGCAGCGACGCCGCGUGAGUGCAGAAGUAAUUCGUUCUGUAAAGCUCUAUCAGCAGGGAAGAAAAUGACGGUACCUGAGUAAGCAGCCCCGGCUAACUCCGUGCCAGCAGCCGCGGUCAUACGUAGGGGGCAAGCGUUCUCCGGAUUUACUGGGUGUAAAGGGAGCGUAGACGGCAGUGCAAGUCCGGAGUGAAAGGCGUGGGCUCAACCGCCGGACUGCACUGGAAACUGUACGGCGGGAGUGCAGGAGAGGUAAGUGGAAUUCCGAGUGUAGCGGUGAAAUGCGUAGAUAUUAGGAGGAACACCAGUGGCGAAGGCGGCUUACUGGACUGUAACUGACGUUGAGGCUCGAAAGCGUGGGGAGCAAACAGGAUUAGAUACCCCUGUAGUC